UCAUAAUUUAAUCAUAAUAUGUAAUAGCUUAAAUCAAUCUUACUGGAUAGUUAUCAUAUAAAUGAUUCAUCUACUUAUAUAUUCAUAUUCUGACCGCAUAGUCGACCUUACUUGAAUAAUGUGAUUUCAAAAUGUCAUCAAUAUUAACGAUUCAAGACAAAAUAUGUUCGCUGUAGUGUCACUUUUUAAUAAUGAUUUUAUGGAAUUUGCUGAUGAAGAUAAAUUCAUACUUUUAUUUAGUAAUAAGAUAAUUUUUUAAUUUUUAAAAUGUUGUGUUCGUCAUCCACAGGCUUUAGUGUCAAAUAUUUUAGAUACAUGUAUCUGGAAAUAGAAAGUUACGUCUAAUUUUUCUCCUAUGUGUGUAUCGUGCAAGAUUACUACGCACCCACGACGGACAAG
Molecule: long non-coding RNA, 399 nt
Filed under: Mytilus galloprovincialis (Mediterranean mussel)
Lineage: Eukaryota; Metazoa; Mollusca; Bivalvia; Mytilida; Mytilidae
Source: RNAcentral